This 442-nucleotide long non-coding RNA is filed under the name Brassica napus (rape). Its description in RNAcentral is "long non-coding RNA (BNAP_LNC012048)". Lineage: Eukaryota; Viridiplantae; Streptophyta; Magnoliopsida; Brassicales; Brassicaceae. The record is from RNAcentral.
UCUUUUGUCAAACCUAAAUUUCCCCCUUUUUUUCCUUGUAAAAUUAUCCUCUAAGAAAGCAACCACUGGACGAUGGUCAGACCCCACCAUCUUUAGAUACUCUGUAUAAGAAUAUGGAAAAAGCGUGUGCCAUUCCUCAUUUGCCAAAGCCCGAUCUAAGCGACAUCUGACCGUCACUGCUCCUUUUCCUUUGCCCCUUCUUCCUUGCCAAGACAGUGUAUUACCUCGAGCCAGAAAUUCUAAUAAGCCACUAUUCCUUAUCAUAUUAUUGAAAGGGAUAAAUGAAGUUGUACAACGUAGAGAGCCUCCAUCCUUUUCAUGAUUCCCAGUAAUCUCGUUUAGAUCUCCAAUAAUAAACCAAGAUUCCGAACGUGCUAAUCCAAAUCAAGUUAAUCUCUUCCAUACCUGUUCUCUUAGCUUUUGCCCCAAAUCCCCAUAAACA